AAGAAGGGGUGGGGAGGAGAGAGAGAGAACAAUUUGGUCAUUUAGUCAUUGGUUAGCAGCGUUAUCUUCCUGUGAACAUUUUUUAAUUAUUGAGGGGAUAAAAUAUAAAUUUUUCGAAGUCGGGGAAGAAAAGUGAAAAAACAAGUAUUGAUAAAGAAAUUUUCUGUACUUUAGCUUUUAUUUUAUUAACUUUUCAUGUGUUAGAAUAAGAUUAUAUUUUUUCAAUUAAUUGCAUACAAUUCCCUAUAAAUAUAGCGAAUUGCAAAUAUAUUCCUAUAAAAUUCAACUUUCUUAUGUAAUCUCUACAAAAAGUCCCACUAUUUUCAAAUAUGCCCCUACCAUAAGAAUUCAUUAGAAAAAUUUAGUUACCUAUAUGUAAAAUACUUAACUUGAUUAGUCAAUAAGGUAUAUUGAUAUUUUUACAUCUCUUAUAUUAUACCUUCUUCUCUUAAUCAGAACCCUAACAAUGGGAACUCGUUUUUUUCGUCCUCUUCCUCUCUUUCCUUCAUGCUAGUUUCGAACCCGUAACUAGAAUUUCUCUGUCCUCAUUCAUCCACAACGCGUGUUGCUUCGCCCAUAUUGAACAUAUUUUGCUUCCCUUUCAAUUUUCUCUAUGAUUUUUUCUUAUUAAUCAAAAGAAAAGUUUUAGGAGAAAAAGAGUGAGAGAAGAGGUUGCAACAGUGAUGGAUUUGUUGGGUUUUAAAGAGAAAUAAGAUUGACCAUUGAAAUUUUUUGGGGGGGAUAUUUUUGCAUAAUUAUAGCAGUUGGAGCUUUUGGAUGGACAUAUUUGCAAUGAUAAAAUUGACAUUUCACUUAUCUACUGUUAAAAAAUAAAUAUUUCUCUAACAGUAGCAAAUUAACCCAAAGGACAAAUUUAAAUGUCACUGGAAUUUUGCAGGAAGAGAAUAAGAAAGUUGAAUUUUGUAGAGAUAUAUUUGCUAUUUGCUAUGUUUACAGAGCUGUAAGCAAUUAACCUAUAUAUUUUUUUGGUGUUUUAAAAUUUUACAAAAUUAUAUUCA
RNAcentral lists this long non-coding RNA (1019 nucleotides) under Ananas comosus (pineapple). RNAcentral's name for it is "long non-coding RNA (ACOM_LNC017011)". The record is from RNAcentral. Lineage: Eukaryota; Viridiplantae; Streptophyta; Magnoliopsida; Poales; Bromeliaceae.